CGGUAAUACGAAGGGACCUAGCGUAGUUCGGAAUUACUGGGCUUAAAGAGUUCGUAGGUGGUUAAAAAAGUUGGUGGUGAAAUCCCAGAGCUUAACUCUGGAACUGCCAUCAAAACUUUUUAGCUAGAGUAUGAUAGAGGAAAGCAGAAUUUCUAGUGUAGAGGUGAAAUUCGUAGAUAUUAGAAAGAAUACCAAUUGCGAAGGCAGCUUUCUGGAUCAUUACUGACACUGAGGAACGAAAGCAUGGGUAGCGAAGAGGAUUAGAUACCCUCGUAGUCCAUGCUGUAAACGAUGUGUGUUAGACGUUGGAAAUUUAUUUUCAGUGUCGCAGCGAAAGCGAUAAACACACCGCCUGGGGAGUACGACCGCAAGGUUAAAACUCAAAUGAAUUGACGGGGACCCGCACAAGUAGUGGAGCAUGUGGUUUAAUUCGAAGAUACGCGCAGAACCUUACCAACACUUGACAUGUUCGUCGCGACUUUAAGAGAUUAAAGUUUUCGGUUCGGCCGGACGAAACACAGGUGCUGCAUGGCUGUCGUCAGCUCGUGUCGUGAGAUGUUGGGUUAAGUCCCGCAACGAGCGCAACCCUUACUUUUAGUUGCCAUCAUUUAGUUGGGCACUCUGAAAGAACUGCCAGUGAUAAGCUGGAGGAAGGUGGGGAUGACGUCAAGUCCUCAUGGCCCUUACGUGUUGGGCUACACACGUGCUACAAUGGCAUCUACAAUAGGAAGCAAGAUGGCAACAUCAAGCAAAUCCUAAAAAGAUGCCUCAGUUCGGAUUGCACUCUGCAACUCGAGUGCAUGAAGCUGGAAUUACUAGUAAUCGCGGAUCAGCGCGCCGCGGUGAAUACGUUCCCGGGUCUUGUACACACCGCCCGUCACACCAUGGGGAGUUGGUUCUACCUUAAGGCAAAGUGUAAAAACUUUGACCACGGUAUAGUCAGCGACUGGGGUGAAGUCGUAACAAAGUAGCCGUAGGGGA
RNAcentral lists this ribosomal RNA (981 nucleotides) under marine metagenome. Its description in RNAcentral is "bacterial SSU rRNA". It matches the Rfam family "Bacterial small subunit ribosomal RNA", at positions 518 to 1509 of the family's 1533-position model. The record is from RNAcentral.